Molecule: ribosomal RNA, 496 nt
Filed under: uncultured bacterium
Lineage: Bacteria
Description: partial 16S ribosomal RNA
Rfam family: Bacterial small subunit ribosomal RNA
Source: RNAcentral
AGGAAAGAGGGAGGCGUGCCUAAUACCUGCAAGUCGCGCGAACAGACGAGGAGCUUGCUCCUCUGACGUUAGCGGCGGACGGGUGAGUAACACGUGGAUAACCUACCUAUAAGACUGGGAUAACUUCGGGAAACCGGAGCUAAUACCGGAUAAUAUAUUGAACCGCAUGGUUCAAUAGUGAAAGACGGUUUUGCUGUCACUUAUAGAUGGAUCCGCGCCGCAUUAGCUAGUUGGUAAGGUAACGGCUUACCAAGGCAACGAUGCGUAGCCGACCUGAGAGGGUGAUCGGCCACACUGGAACUGAGACACGGUCCAGACUCCUACGGGAGGCAGCAGUAGGGAAUCUUCCGCAAUGGGCGAAAGCCUGACGGAGCAACGCCGCGUGAGUGAUGAAGGUCUUCGGAUCGUAAAACUCUGUUAUUAGGGAAGAACAAAUGUGUAAGUAACUAUGCACGUCUUGACGGUACCUAAUCAGAAAGCCACGGCUAACUACGUG